ACCCCUCUUCUAUUGAACGGCUAAAAUGGCCAAAUUAGAAUUAAAAAUAAAUUAGAACUAAUUUACAUAUUCUUAGCCACACUUUUGGGUAAUGUGUACAUGUAUAUUACUACUGUAUUUCAUGUUGCGCUUUGUUUAUAACUUGAAUAAUUGUUUUAACCAUGAAGUAAAGACACUCUAUAUCCAUGGUUAGUAAAUAAGGUAAAUUGCGUACAGUAGCCGUUGACCCACUUUUAAUUUCAAAUUUUGACACUGUGGGCUGGGCAUUUCAUUUCUUAGCCAUUCAGCCAAAAACUGACCAAAAUGCCCUGACGAAACUGAACCCGGUUUGUACGUACGGACCGCGUCGCUGGAAUCCAAGAGAACCGGGUUUGUACGUACACUGUUCAUCGACGAGAAAUGCAUUAAAUAUUUUCUGGGUUUCGGCGAAUUUGACACUUGAGAUUGAAAUUAAAAUUUUUAAAAAUUGGUUGGGCUCAGAAGUUUUUAAUGCUAAAAAGUUUUGACAAAACUAAAACUCAUGAUUACCUAUUAUAAUAUAGAUUAUAUUGUAAGAUAUUUACAUAAUUGAGAUUAGAAUUCUGGGAAAAAAACGAAAAUCAAAAUUGUGUUACGGUGAAGAAUCUGAAGUUUUUAGUUGCUGUUUUACAAAGUUUGAAGGAUUGAAGGGGAGACAAUCUGUGUUCUAGGUAAGAAAUUCGUGUUAAUCCUAUUAAUUACACUUGAGAACGUGAUAUGAAAGUAAUGAUACGUUUUUAAAAAU
RNAcentral lists this small RNA (763 nucleotides) under Arabidopsis thaliana (thale cress). Its description in RNAcentral is "ATSL151550". The record is from RNAcentral. Lineage: Eukaryota; Viridiplantae; Streptophyta; Magnoliopsida; Brassicales; Brassicaceae.